CUAAAUUAAACUGUUAUUUCUCUGUCUGACUCUACGCAGCCAUUUGCCAAAAAACCUAAAUAAGAUAUUUUUCCCAUUUUAUUUCCCCUUUGUUCGUUAUUUGGUUCAGUUUAAUCAGAGCUACCUUGUGUUACGUUGUUCCCUUGUUAGUUUGGUAUAAAGUUAAACUGCUAGCUAAAAGUUUUAACCAAGAAGGAUAAUAUUAACAGGAGAUAUGAAUGAAUGUAAGAAUUGAACCAUGAUAAAACGCGACAUGCACUACAAAUUGAAGGUAUGAAAUUAAGUUAAAUGAAAGCUCGUUUAUUCACCAUAUGAUGCUCGUUAUGAGGUAAUCAUAUAGGCUAGAUACCGUGAGUUAACGAGGUCGUUUACAUGCACGUGAGUGCACGGAUAUCGGUUAAUUAUUCAAAUUACUGAAAAACACGGAGAAAACCGCAACCGCAUCGUCAUGUGUUUUUUUUUUUUUAGAUGUAUGCAAACAGGGAAAAUAUCGCCAAACCAACAAUUCAUUUUACCUCAGAAUAUGCACAGAUUGGAUGCGUGUGUUGUAAGCUUUUCGUGGCGCUAGAUGUCAGACAGAUGCAAAUAGCAAAUACAUACGAAAGUGUAAAACGUGUAUGGCGAACAUUUGUUUUUCUGUCAUUAUAGAUGCUAGUUUGGUGAAAGUACACACUGAGUGCUUCAAAUCAUUCAGAAGAGAUGCUGUUUUUAUGGCAGUUUAUUAAAGAAGACCUGACAUGGAUGACUUCCAAUGAGAAACGACUGCUAAUACUUAUAUAAAUUCAUUACAGAAGGACCCUACCAGACUAUAUUUGAAUACGGCAUACCCAUGAAUUCUGAACUGUUAUUCCUUAACCCAGUUUGGAGGAUAAGAGCUUACCAACUAUAAAUAUGCUGAGGUGAUGUAUUGCAAAAUAGCCAACAUACAACAAUGAAAGGAUAAUUGCAGACUACAUCCUGAUGAAGAUAUGGAUGACCCUCUGUCUGGUCAACAAUAGUUUAAAUAUGGACGGGACAGUUAUGUGGCAGCUCUUCCCUGACUCAUUCACCUCUUGCCUUCAUUUGUGAAAGGAAGAAAGACUGGAGAGGGUCAAUGUGCAACUGAAGCUACUGAUUGUGCUGUGUGAUGAGCAUCAAUCCAUGCUUUGAGGGGGAUGAAUCAGCACAGCCCUGCCUGCUCUGCGUUGGGAACAAAAGUUGCAUCCAGAAUUUUUGCAUCAUUCUGGACCAAAAAGCCAUUCCCUCCAUGAUGAAGACCACUGAUGCAGCCUCCCACUACUGUACAGUAAAACAACUACAGAACUAAAUACCAGGUUGGAACGUGUUUAAGAAAAAUGAAACGUCUUUUGAAUUGAAAUGUCUGUUUUGUUAUGGAAAAAUCUUUAGUAUUGUGAAGGAUAAGCAUUUCUGCUUGCCGAUAAGGUAAUUGCAUGUAUUUUAAUGUUCAAGUUUUGAGUAGGGUGGCUAAUUUUUUUAACUCUUAUUUGAUUUAUUAAAGACCUUUAUAAUAAGUGGUUUUCAUGUCACUGCGCUGUGGUAUAAGAUAACUUUCAUUAUUCCAUACUGUAUUCUGUUUCUAAUUGUAGCUGAGGUAUUUAAAUAAGCAGUGUUAAAUGCAAAGUGUUGUGUGUAUCAAUGUAAAUAUUAAAUGUGAUUUACUUUAAUAAAAAGAGGUUUUGCAAUA
This is a non-coding RNA of Misgurnus anguillicaudatus (oriental weatherfish), 1684 nucleotides long. NCBI's taxonomy places the organism in Eukaryota, Metazoa, Chordata, Actinopteri, Cypriniformes, Cobitidae. The record is from RefSeq and is a predicted model, not a curated record.